AUCGCCGUCGCCGUCGCCGCCGUCGCUAUCGUCGGCCGUCAAGCGCCGAUCCGUGUGAGAACCGAUUUUUCGCUCUUAAACGACUCUAGGUCACGGAUCACCGUGAUCUCCCCGCGACCCUUCGACUCGUAGUGGAUAUAUAAUAUUAAUCUCUGUGAGAGAAAGAUCGGUCCAACGACUUCCGAAUCCGAAUAUACGAAACGGAAAUAACGAUUAUUGGAACACGCCGGGUCCCGAAGCGCCACUCCGAGCAGUAGACUCUCGAGAUUCGGAGUUUUCCGAGAGACGCCAAGGCGUCCUCGGGAGAAAUAACCCCAUAGCGCGUCGAAACGGAGCGCGUCAACGAUCGUUUCAACGAGAGGACGAAAGAUUAAAAAGCCUAAGAGCGAAAGAUCGCGAGGAUCCAGCAACAACUCACUUUGCCGUUAGCGAGUCAUGCACCUCGUUGAGAGGGUGACGACGAACUUGCCGAAGAGCGGCUCGACACGGCGAUCUCACUUGCCUAGAGACAAGUUCUGAACCUGUAGUAGCAGCCUAAACACAACCAGUGAUCUUCCUACAGAUAUAUAUAUAUACAGAUAUAUAUAUAUAUAUCUACAUAGAUGUAUAUACUAUAGGUGUAUAUACUACACCAUGUACAGGUGUAUAUAUACACACACGUACAUAUUGCAUAUACUCUGACCGUCGUACGCGCGUCUAUUUUUGUUGUCACCGUCACGCGCCGCGCAAGAAAGCGGCCUAAGGAAGCGGCAGAAUAUCGUAAAGUUCCAAAGUAUCACUUGUUAACGAACACGAGAUCACCCGCACCGAGGAAAGAGGAGAGAAAGAAAGAGAGAGAGCGAGACAAUGAAGAAAAAGUCAAUGGAGAGAAGUAAGAAGGAGGCGAGGGUAUAACAAACAAUCGUGACCAGCACAAUAAUAAACGAUCUUAUAAGAACACAGAGAAUAAUAUAAUUAACGAUAGCGAUAAAAAAA
This is a long non-coding RNA of Pogonomyrmex barbatus (red harvester ant), 975 nucleotides long. The record is from RefSeq and is a predicted model, not a curated record. Lineage: Eukaryota; Metazoa; Arthropoda; Insecta; Hymenoptera; Formicidae.